This 253-nucleotide ribosomal RNA is filed under the name uncultured bacterium. RNAcentral describes it as "partial 16S ribosomal RNA". It matches the Rfam family "Bacterial small subunit ribosomal RNA", at positions 524 to 776 of the family's 1533-position model. The record is from RNAcentral.
UACGGAGGGUGCGAGCGUUGUUCGGAAUCACUGGGCGUAAAGGGCGUGUAGGCGGUCUGCUAAGUCUGAUGUGAAAGCCCGGGGCUCACCCCCGGAAGUGCAUUGGAUACUGGCGGACUCGAGUCCCGGAGAGGAGAGUGGAAUUCCUGGUGUAGCGGUGAAAUGCGCAGAUAUCAGGAGGAACACCGGUGGCGAAGGCGGGUCUCUGGGCAAUAACUGACGCUGAGGAGCGAAAGCGUGGGGAGCGAACAGG